AGUGAACGCUGGCGGUAGGCCUAACACAUGCAAGUCGAACGGCAGCACAGUAAGAGCUUGCUCUUACGGGUGGCGAGUGGCGGACGGGUGAGGAAUACAUCGGAAUCUACUUUUUCGUGGGGGAUAACGUAGGGAAACUUACGCUAAUACCGCAUACGACCUACGGGUGAAAGCAGGGGAUCUUCGGACCUUGCGCGAUUGAAUGAGCCGAUGUCGGAUUAGCUAGUUGGCGGGGUAAAGGCCCACCAAGGCGACGAUCCGUAGCUGGUCUGAGAGGAUGAUGAGCAGCACUGGGACUGAGACACGGUGCAGACUCCUACGGGAGGCAGCAGUGGGGAAUAUUGGACAAUGGGCGCAAGCCUGAUCCAGCCAUACCGCGUGGGUGAAGAAGGCCUUCGGGUUGUAAAGCCCUUUUGUUGGGAGAGAAAAGCAGCAGGUUAAUACCCCGCUGUUCUGACGGUACCCAAAGAAUAAGCACCGGCUAACUUCGUG
Molecule: ribosomal RNA, 492 nt
Filed under: uncultured bacterium
Lineage: Bacteria
Description: partial 16S ribosomal RNA
Rfam family: Bacterial small subunit ribosomal RNA
Source: RNAcentral